UCGCGGGAGUAGUUUGGGGAAGAGGUGAAGAAGGUGCUGGAAUUGCUCCGUGCCUCUGCCCCACUGGAGGAGCGGGGAGGAGCCAGCCUGACGGGCCUGGGAUCAGCUGUGUCUGGCUGUUGGGACUGGAAUGUACAGGCUGUCUAGAAGAAAAAUGGCUUUUUUCUUACCUGAGAGAAGAGCUGAGGAAGCACAAGAGAAGCCUGGUAAUUUGCAUUAAUUACUUGAUGGAAAGAAAGAUAUUUUGAAGCCAUUCUGUAAAAGAACCAUCAACAAGAAUUUUGACAGGCUGGCAGUCAGGACAGAAUUGUUAAGUCAUUUGACGUGGAAGAGUUUUUGCACCUGGAAACUAAGUGGAAGCAUGGAAUCCAUGAGGGCAACAGAACCUUAGCCACUGAGGCUAGUGGGCAUUUACAGCAGAG
Long non-coding RNA from Pseudopodoces humilis (Tibetan ground-tit), 422 nucleotides. RefSeq lists it as uncharacterized. The record is from RefSeq and is a predicted model, not a curated record. NCBI's taxonomy places the organism in Eukaryota, Metazoa, Chordata, Aves, Passeriformes, Paridae.